Molecule: long non-coding RNA, 498 nt
Organism: Harpia harpyja (harpy eagle)
Lineage: Eukaryota; Metazoa; Chordata; Aves; Accipitriformes; Accipitridae
Exons: 3
Source: RefSeq, a predicted model, not a curated record
CACAAGGGAGAUUUCUUCCGGAGAGAGGAUAGAGUUAUUAAGUCUAAAGUCCAUUAUUUGCUUUUGUCCUUCAGGAAAAGAUGGUCCUGACUCUGGGUGGAUCUAACAAGGAUUCUGGAACUCCAGUUCUGCUUUUUGGAUUUACUGGGAACUUCCCAGUCCAGACGAUUGGAAUUACAGCAUUAUACUUUGACUGGUAUAAUCUUCUGCUUUCGAUAACCAUCCUGUAACAACAAAGCCACUGCUUCGAUACGUUUAGUUUCUGGAAUUAAAAUCUUAAUCUCUCCAUUUUUAAAUUUAAUUUCUGCCUCUGAGUUCUCAAAUAGAUCUCUCCCUAACAGGAGUUUAGGAGAAUUUGGCACAUACAAAAACUGCUGAGUGACCCAUUGCUUUCCUAGUUUCAUUGUUAAAGAUUUAAAGAAGGGUCUAGUUUCUCGUUCACUUGUUGCACCACCACCACCAAUUUCUUCAAAACUUAACUCUCCCUCUAAGGUAUUU